CUCAGUGGUAGCUUUAGGCAAGCAACGGAGAGGUUGUGAUGGUGGUGAAAACACCAAGGCCGGCCUACACACAAGGCCGAGUCAUCCACAGCUAUUUGGUGCAGUAAUAUCCGAGCGAGAGAAAUUCGAGGGCGAUUUAACACAUUCCUCGUCGAUAAUCCAUAGUCGCUUCCCCCAAAAUGACAGUCGCGGCCGGCACUCCUCGGCAAAUCAUCGAGAACUCAACGAAACGGCUUGGAUUCUCUUUCCUGCCACAUCCACUUACCGACACACCAAGACGAGAAAUAGGGACAUUUCAAAAAAAGACAUGAAGAGAUAAAUAUCUUCCCCGAAUUGACGGCCUGCCGUUCAUUCCGCCUCGAGCCUUGGCCGACAUGAACCUUUUUUUUUUUUAACUCCGCUUUGAAAUGAUGUGUCACAAGGGUGUUUUUUUUUUUAAUGAAAUCCCAAAGGUAAAUGUCUAUCCUCCUCCUGUUCUGCUAAUAAUACCCGAUGGCAUUUGUGGCUAUUCAAAUAAAAAAGAGGCGCUUCUUGUCUUCUCCGUUA
This is a long non-coding RNA of Silurus meridionalis, 546 nucleotides long. RefSeq lists it as uncharacterized. Lineage: Eukaryota; Metazoa; Chordata; Actinopteri; Siluriformes; Siluridae. The transcript is spliced from 2 exons. The record is from RefSeq and is a predicted model, not a curated record.